CUUUUGGGUGUGACUGCGUACCUUUUGUAUAAUGGGUCAGCGACUUAUAUUCUGUAGCAAGGUUAACCGCAUAGGGGAGCCGGAGGGAAACCGAGUCUUAAUUGGGCGUUAAGUUGCAGGGUAUAGACCCGAAACCCGGUGAUCUAGCCAUGGGCAGGUUGAAGGUUGGGUAACACUAACUGGAGGACCGAACCGACUAAUGUUGAAAAAUUAGCGGAUGACCUGUGGCUGGGGGUGAAAGGCCAAUCAAACCGGGAGAUAGCUGGUUCUCCCCGAAAGCUAUUUAGGUAGCGCCUCGUGAAUUCAUCUCCGGGGGUAGAGCACUGUUUCGGCUAGGGGGCCAUCCCGGCUUACCAACCCGAUGCAAACUGCGAAUACCGGAGAAUGUUAUCACGGGAGACACACGGCGGGUGCUAACGUCCGUCGUGAAGAGGGAAACAACCCAGACCGCCAGCUAAGGUCCCAAAGUCAUGGUUAAGUGGGAAACGAUGUGGGAAGGCCCAGACAGCCAGGAUGUUGGCUUAGAAGCAGCCAUCAUUUAAAGAAAGCGUAAUAGCUCACUGGUCGAGUCGGCCUGCGCGGAAGAUGUAACGGGGCUAAACCAUGCACCGAAGCUGCGGCAGCGACGCUUAUGCGUUGUUGGGUAGGGGAGCGUUCUGUAAGCCUG
RNAcentral lists this ribosomal RNA (667 nucleotides) under Salmonella enterica subsp. enterica serovar Braenderup. RNAcentral describes it as "partial 23S ribosomal RNA". It matches the Rfam family "Bacterial large subunit ribosomal RNA", at positions 583 to 1251 of the family's 2925-position model. The record is from RNAcentral. Lineage: Bacteria; Pseudomonadati; Pseudomonadota; Gammaproteobacteria; Enterobacterales; Enterobacteriaceae.